CUACGGGGGGCAGCAGUGAGGAAUAUUGGUCAAUGGGCGCAAGCCUGAACCAGCCAUGCCGCGUGAAGGAUGACGGCCCUAUGGGUUGUAAACUUCUUUUAUACAGGAAGAAACGCCUCUACGUGUAGAGGUUUGACGGUACCGUACGAAUAAGCAUCGGCUAACUCCGUGCCAGCAGCCGCGGUAAUACGGAGGAUGCAAGCGUUAUCCGGAUUUAUUGGGUUUAAAGGAUACGUAGGCGGAAGAUUAAGUCAGUAGUGAAAUCCUGCAGCUUAACUGUAGAACUGUUAUUGAUACUGGUUUUCUUGAAUGUAGUUGAGGUAGGCGGAAUAAGUAAUGUAGCGGUGAUAUGCUUAGAUAUUACUUAGAACACCGAUUGCGAAGGCAGCUUACUAAGUUAUGAUUGACGCUGAGGUACGAAAGCGUGGGGAGCGAACAGGAUUAGAUACCCCAGUAGUC
Molecule: ribosomal RNA, 459 nt
Filed under: uncultured bacterium
Lineage: Bacteria
Description: partial 16S ribosomal RNA
Rfam family: Bacterial small subunit ribosomal RNA
Source: RNAcentral